Small nucleolar RNA from Camelus dromedarius (Arabian camel), 69 nucleotides. The record is from Ensembl. NCBI's taxonomy places the organism in Eukaryota, Metazoa, Chordata, Mammalia, Artiodactyla, Camelidae.
CUCACCUGUGAUGAGUUCGAUACCGCCCCAGUCUGAUUACUAUGACUGAAAGGUACUUUCUGAGCUGUG